GUUCAUUAACAAUGAAAACUUCAUAGGAUUUAAAUACAGAAGAAAUCUUAGACCAGUGGAAUUCUAACACCUGAAGCAAAUUCAGUUGAAGCUGGACAAGGAGAGAUUAAGUCAAAGAUAGGCACUGGAGAUGGACAAGCAGGACGCAGAACUGAACUGGAGGCCAAAAAAAUUAAUCUGUAUUGCAUUUGGGACAAGAUGGAGUACUUUUAGUUACCACAAGUUGCUUCUUGCCAUCAAGGGCCAUAUCAUAAAACAGGAACAUUCUCCUGGCAGGGCUGUGGGUUGCAACUGAUGGAAUCAAGAUUGUGGUGACCUGAGGCGCAAUGGACUCUUGGAGAUUUUAACUAGACUGCAGUAUGUUAUAUUACCUCUAAUAAUUUUGGGGUGAAGCAUGAUAGAUGAGGGCAUUUAGGUGACAUGGUGGAUAGAAUGUUGGGCCUGGAAUCAGGAAACCUUUGUGAGUUCAAAUCUGAACUCAGACAACUUAAUAGAUGCAUGACUCUGGGCACAUCACUAGACACUGUUUGCCUCAUUUUCCUCAUCUGUAAAAUUGUUUGCAGAAGGAAGUGACAAAUUAUUCCAAUAUCUUUGCUAAGAAAACCUCAAACUGAGUCAAGAAGAAUCCAACAUGACUCAAAAUGACUCAACAAUGACAUGACCGAAAAAGCUAGGACACUAUAAUGGGAGGAUGAAGUGGACUGCUCAUUUAGUUAAAAAUGGGUGAUGACCACUGGGAAGCUGGAAUGUUGCAUAGGCACAUUUGAGACUUCAGAGAUCUGUGAUUUUAUCAAUUAGGAUGCUCACUUUAGCAAUACAGAUUAUAACCAAACUAUAUCUUUCAUUCUCUAUCAUUCUUAUUAAUACCCUCACAGAAAUCCUUUAUGGAGAAUCUACAAUAGGCAAGAAACUUCUAGGUAUUUUAAGAUGUCUUGGGCAUGAAGGCAGUGUCCAGGGCUCCAUUUAUUUUCCUUUUUUUUCUUAUUAUGUGACUGGUGCACCUCUUUUUCCAGUGAUAUUCUUUAUAUGUUUCAUACCAUUUAUAAAAAAAUCAUGUAGUGACCAGAACUCCAAAUCAAAUAUCUAGUAAACAUAUCCAUACCCAAGAGUACCUUAAUGUGCGGCUAUAUGGCAUAAUGGAUAGAAUGCUAGACCUGGAGUCAAGAAGAAUUAAGUUUAGCUCUACUUCCAGACACUAUUUGUAUUACCCUGGGCAAAUAUUUAACUUUACUUGGAUUCAGUUUUCUCAUCUAUAAAAUGGGAAUAAUAAUAGUAAUAAUAGGACCUUCCACCUAGAGUUUUUGAGGAGCAAAUGAGACAAUAUUAAUAAAUCACUUUGAAAAAAUUACAAUUCUAUACAGAUGUUAUAUAUAUUAUUAUAGUUAUUAUUAAAUGUAUUUUUGCAUCUCAUUUCAAAAAUCUGUUCAUUUAAAAAUAAGUUUAGCUUUUUGGUUUCAUCAGUUUUUUGAUGAACAAAAAUAAUGGUCUAUAUGAUUAAGUAUUUAAUAAAUAUUUAUUUUUUAAAAAGAUAAAAACCAAAAUGGCAUAGAGUACCCUACUUUGAGCCUGGAAGAACUGAAAUUAAAACCUACUUCAGAUUUUUACUAGUUGUGUGAUCCUGGGAAAGUCACAUAACCUUUCUGUGACUCAGAUUUCCUAUCUGUAAUACGAUGGUGUUGGAUUUAGUGGUUUAUUUGGAUUUUUUUUUUUGUAAUGCAGUUAGGGUUAGGGGACUUGCCUAGGAUCAUACAGCUAGUAAGUAUUAAGUAUCUCAGGAUGUAUUUGAACUCAGGUCCUGAUGAUUUCAUGGUCGGUGUUCUAUUCAUUGUCAUCCAGCUUCCCUAGACUUAAUGAUUUUUAAAGUUCAUCUUUGUUUAUAACAUACACUAAUGCAAUGUCUUGUGCAUGCCCAUAAUAAUUGGAGAAACUAAAAUAAUCUCAGUCAUAACAUUUUUUUUUUUUUGCUGAGGCAAUUGGGAUGAAGUGACUUGCCCAGGAUCACACAGCUAGGACGUAUUAAGUGUCUGAGACCAGAUUUGAACUCAGGUCCUCCUGAGUCAUAACAUUCUUGCUAAAUGAAGUCAGAAGUCAAAAUGAAACUGCAGCUAAAUGCAAGGGGGCUUACAGAUUCUCCUUAAAAAUAUCAAAUAAAGGAGGUGGUUUUAUCAUGCCUCCAAAGGCAAGAAGAAGCCUAAUAUCUUGGGACUUCAAUAAAUAAAGGGCUUGCUUAGAGUCAAGAGACAUGAGUUCAGAUCUAAACUCAAGAUACUGUCUACCUGUAGAAUCCUGGGUAAGUCAUUUAAUCUUUGUUUGCCUCAAUUUCCUCUUCUGUAAAACAGGUAUUAUAGUAAUAGCCCCUAUCUCCCAAUAUUGAAGAUCAAAUGAGAAAAUGAUUGUAAAGCCCUUAGCACAGGUCUUAGUACAUAACAAGUGCUAUAUAAAGUUAAUGAUUAUUAUGUAUUACUAAUUGUUAUUAAUAUCCUUUAUACUGUUUCUUGUGUGGUCAUCAUUGGAUAAUAUGACAUACAAAUAAGACAUGGGCAAUAAAUAUUACUUAUAUAUUUGGUUUUUAUGUAUGUAUUGAUAGACUUAUCUGUUUCUGAGUCAUGGCUAGAAUGCUAGAUUUAGUGCUGAGGAAAGCUAGGUAGCCCAGUGAAUAGAGAGAAGGGCCUGGAGUCAGGAAGACUUAUCUUUCUGAGUUCAACUCUUACCUCAGUCACUUAGUAACUCUAUGACCCUUGGAAAGUCAUUUAACCCAUUGACCUCAGUUUCCCCAUCUAUAAAACGAUCUAGAUAAAGAAAUGAAAAACCAUUCCAAUAUUUUUGCCAAGAGAGCCCCAAUGGAAUCAUGGAAAGCCAGACAUAAUUGAAAAGCUACUGAAUAAGAAGAGGACACAGAGAGGUGGUCUUUUAGAUGAACUGUUCUUUUUACAGAGAAAGAAA
This 2943-nucleotide long non-coding RNA is filed under the name Sarcophilus harrisii (Tasmanian devil). Its description in RNAcentral is "lncRNA (ENSSHAG00000020859.1)". The record is from RNAcentral. Lineage: Eukaryota; Metazoa; Chordata; Mammalia; Dasyuromorphia; Dasyuridae.